RNAcentral lists this ribosomal RNA (266 nucleotides) under uncultured prokaryote. RNAcentral describes it as "partial 16S ribosomal RNA". It matches the Rfam family "Bacterial small subunit ribosomal RNA", at positions 524 to 789 of the family's 1533-position model. The record is from RNAcentral.
UACGGAGGAUCCAAGCGUUAUCCGGAUUUAUUGGGUUUAAAGGGUGCGUAGGCGGCCCGGUAAGUUAGAGGUGAAAGCCCGUGGCUCAACCACGGAAUUUCCUCUGAUACUGUCGGGCUAGAGAAUAGUUGCUGUGGGCGGAAUGUGUAGUGUAGCGGUGAAAUGCUUAGAGAUUACACAGAACACCGAUUGCGAAGGCAGCUCACAAAGCUAUUUCUGACGCUGAGGCGCGAAAGCGUGGGGAGCAAACAGGAUUAGAUACCCUG